Peromyscus eremicus (cactus mouse) is the source of this 1421-nucleotide long non-coding RNA. RefSeq lists it as uncharacterized. Lineage: Eukaryota; Metazoa; Chordata; Mammalia; Rodentia; Cricetidae. The record is from RefSeq and is a predicted model, not a curated record. The transcript is spliced from 3 exons.
AGCAGCAGCAGCAGCAGCGGCGGCGGCGGCGCUGGCGGCCCGAGGCUCCGGCCCGGACUGCGGUGGGACAUCGCUCCUCCGCUCUGACCUCUGCCGGGCUGGAUUAGGUCCCGCUGGCGCCGGCCGUGACAGCUGUUGCAAGAGCCGCACUCGGGGGUGGCAGUGGGGCGUUGCGUGGCAGAGGCCUGGGCGAUCUUAACUUUCUUCUGGCAUUAGUUUUGCCUGUUCGGGAGCUUCGCGUGGCCUUGGGAACCAAACUUCGCCCUUCUGAGCCCCAGGCUGGGAUAGGCGGAUCCUUUCCGUCUGGUCUGACCCUCUAGUCACCUGUGGGCCGGGCCGGGAAAGUUCUCAGUAGCGCUUUUGGGAAGUACAGGGGCUGCGCUGCUUCUGGCCGCCUCCUGCAGGUUUGGGGCUCAGGGCCAAGGAAUCAGUUCAAGGUGGCCUUGGCCCCUGUGGCAACAGAUGAGAUACCCCAGGCAGCUUUGGGUCGCAUGCCUCUGCCUACACGCAGAUCGGAUUCUGUGGCCUUCUGUCUUUUCGGGUCCCUCAUCCGUCAGGAACCAGGGCCUCUUGUGUCAGCCUGUCUAACCUCAGGAGCUCGACACCUCCCGGCCUUGGCUUCAUUGGCCGGAACUGAUUCACACUGGGCUGGAAGCAGAUCUACCCCUGACCCCCUAUCGAGACCCAUUUCUGGGCAGGGCUCACUGAAAGUAACAUUAUGAGUUGGUCCAGGGUGCCCUAGGUGACAUUGUGAAGUAGGCAACAGACUUCAGGCUGACUGGGCGCAGUUUUUGCCACCGGACCCAGUUAAGACGGCUAAAAGCAAGCCCCUACAGAUAGGUUUGUAAUCCCAGCAUUCCAGAGGCCGAGGCGGGAGGACUGCUGGAAGUCUGACGUCAACCUGGGCCACAGAAUGAGACUUUGUCUCCCAAGAGCAAACAAAACAAAAUGCCAGGUACCCCAGGAGGCCGGAAGAGGGAUCCAGAAAACAGAAAAAAGACCUGCAAUGUAAUUUCAAACUGCCUUGUUGUCAAUGGUGGUGGUCUCGGCUGGAAAAAAACAAAAGGGGUCACACAGAUUUGCACAAGAUGGGAGGCAGCUCUACUUGGAGCGAAGCGAUAGUGCAGAUUACAGAGGGAGACACUGUCCAGAUUGACAGUGGGCCACGUUGAUGCUCCAUAGACAACCAUGGGACACAGCUCUGGAGUACACGGCUAUCACUCUGACAAGAACACACAUCCCACUCAGGAGGUAGAGGCAGGAGGAUCUUAGAAGUUCAAGGCCACCAACUGCUACACACACAGUGAGAUUGAGGACAUUCUGGGAUCCAAGAGACUCUGUCUCGAUAAAACAAACAAACCAAAAAGCAAAACCAGAACACCCACGCGACUUGCAGAGGAAUUCUAUGUGUAGGCAGGGCA